CAGCAGCAGCCACGGUAAAACGAAGGGUGCAAGCGUUAAUCGGAAUUACUGGGCGUAAAGCGUGCGUAGGCGGUGAGUUAAGUCUGCUGUGAAAUCCCCGGGCUCAACCUGGGAAUGGCAGUGGAUACUGGCUCGCUAGAGUGUGUCAGAGGAUGGUGGAAUUCCCGGUGUAGCGGUGAAAUGCGUAGAGAUCGGGAGGAACAUCAGUGGCGAAGGCGGCCAUCUGGGACAACACUGACGCUGAGGCACGAAAGCGUGGGGAGCAAACAGGAUUAGAGACCCCCGUAGUCCCUGUCUCUUAUAC
Molecule: ribosomal RNA, 304 nt
Filed under: uncultured bacterium
Lineage: Bacteria
Description: partial 16S ribosomal RNA
Rfam family: Bacterial small subunit ribosomal RNA
Source: RNAcentral